GACGAACGCUGGCGGUGUGCUUAACACAUGCAAGUCGAACGGAAAGGCCCCUUUGGGGGUACUCGAGUGGCGAACGGGUGAGUAACACGUGAGUAACCUGCCCUUGACUUCGGGAUAACUUCAGGAAACUGGGGCUAAUACCGGAUAGGAAUCCUUGCUGCAUGGUGGGGGUUGGAAAGCUUCGGCGGUUUUGGAUGGACUCGCGGCUUAUCAGCUUGUUGGUGGGGUAGUGGCUUACCAAGGCUUUGACGGGUAGCCGGCCUGAGAGGGCGACCGGCCACAUUGGGACUGAGAUACGGCCCAGACUCCUACGGGAGGCAGCAGUGGGGAAUAUUGCACAAUGGGCGGAAGCCUGAUGCAGCAACGCCGCGUGCGGGAUGACGGCCUUCGGGUUGUAAACCGCUUUCAGCAGGGGCGAAGCUUGUGGUGACGGUACCUGCAGAAGAAGCACCGGCUAACUACGUG
RNAcentral lists this ribosomal RNA (465 nucleotides) under uncultured bacterium. RNAcentral describes it as "partial 16S ribosomal RNA". It matches the Rfam family "Bacterial small subunit ribosomal RNA", at positions 28 to 507 of the family's 1533-position model. The record is from RNAcentral.